RNAcentral lists this ribosomal RNA (429 nucleotides) under Gemmatimonadota bacterium. RNAcentral describes it as "Gemmatimonadetes bacterium partial 16S ribosomal RNA". It matches the Rfam family "Bacterial small subunit ribosomal RNA", at positions 355 to 776 of the family's 1533-position model. The record is from RNAcentral. Lineage: Bacteria; Pseudomonadati; Gemmatimonadota.
UAGGGAAUCUUCGGCAAUGGACGAAAGUCUGACCGAGCAACGCCGCGUGAGUGAAGAAGGUUUUCGGAUCGUAAAACUCUGUUGUUAGAGAAGAACAAGGACGUUAGUAACUGAACGUCCCCUGACGGUAUCUAACCAGAAAGCCACGGCUAACUACGUGCCAGCAGCCGCGGUAAUACGUAGGUGGCAAGCGUUGUCCGGAUUUAUUGGGCGUAAAGCGAGCGCAGGCGGUUUCUUAAGUCUGAUGUGAAAGCCCCCGGCUCAACCGGGGAGGGUCAUUGGAAACUGGGGGACUUGAGGGCAGAAGAGGAGAGUGGAAUUCCAUGUGUAGCGGUGAAAUGCGUAGAUAUAUGGAGGAACACCAGUGGCGAAGGCGGCUCUCUGGUCUGUAACUGACGCUGAGGCUCGAAAGCGUGGGGAGCAAACAGG